UGGGGAAUAUUGCACAAUGGGGGAAACCCUGAUGCAGCGACGCCGCGUGAGCGAAGAAGGUUUUCGAAUCGUAAAGCUCUGUCCUAUGAGAAGAUAAUGACGGUAUCAUAGGAGGAAGCCACGGCUAACUACGUGCCAGCAGCCGCGGUAAUACGUAGGUGGCAAGCGUUGUCCGGAAUUAUUGGGCGUAAAGCGCGCGCAGGCGGUCACUUAAGUCCAUCUUAGAAGUGCGGGGCUUAACCCCGUGAUGGGAUGGAAACUGGGAGACUGGAGUAUCGGAGAGGAAAGUGGAAUUCCUAGUGUAGCGGUGAAAUGCGUAGAUAUUAGGAAGAACACCGGUGGCGAAGGCGACUUUCUGGACGAAAACUGACGCUGAGGCGCGAAAGCGUGGGGAGCAAACAGG
This 403-nucleotide ribosomal RNA is filed under the name Verrucomicrobiota bacterium. RNAcentral describes it as "Verrucomicrobia bacterium partial 16S ribosomal RNA". It matches the Rfam family "Bacterial small subunit ribosomal RNA", at positions 355 to 776 of the family's 1533-position model. The record is from RNAcentral. Lineage: Bacteria; Pseudomonadati; Verrucomicrobiota.